This 169-nucleotide ribosomal RNA is filed under the name Scyris indica (Indian threadfish). RNAcentral's name for it is "partial small subunit ribosomal RNA". Lineage: Eukaryota; Metazoa; Chordata; Actinopteri; Carangiformes; Carangidae. The record is from RNAcentral.
CACCGCGGUUAUACGAGAGGCCCAAGUUGAUAGACAACGGCGUAAAGAGUGGUUAAGGAAAAUAUUUAACUAAAGCGGAACGCCCUCAUAGCUGUUAUACGCUUCCGAGAGUAUGAACCCCGACUACGAAAGUGGCUUUACACUACCUGAACCCACGAAAGCUAAGAAA